RNAcentral lists this transfer RNA (75 nucleotides) under Phytophthora infestans T30-4. It matches the Rfam family "tRNA". From Rfam's summary of the family: Transfer RNA (tRNA) molecules are approximately 80 nucleotides in length. Their secondary structure includes four short double-helical elements and three loops (D, anti-codon, and T loops). Further hydrogen bonds mediate the characteristic L-shaped molecular structure. tRNAs have two regions of fundamental functional importance: the anti-codon, which is responsible for specific mRNA codon recognition, and the 3' end, to which the tRNAs corresponding amino acid is attached (by aminoacyl-tRNA synthetases). tRNAs cope with the degeneracy of the genetic code in two manners: having more than one tRNA (with a specific anti-codon) for a particular amino acid; and 'wobble' base-pairing, i.e. permitting non-standard base-pairing at the 3rd anti-codon position. The record is from Rfam by way of RNAcentral. Lineage: Eukaryota; Oomycota; Peronosporomycetes; Peronosporales; Peronosporaceae.
GCGUGUGUAGUAUAGUGGGUCAGUACCUCACCUUUGUGGCGGUGAAAUCCCUGGUUCGAGAUCCGGGCACGCGCA